Non-coding RNA from Acanthosepion pharaonis, 111 nucleotides. NCBI's taxonomy places the organism in Eukaryota, Metazoa, Mollusca, Cephalopoda, Sepiida, Sepiidae. The record is from the annotation of a GenBank genome assembly.
UACAACCAUAUCAUGUUCGAAACCAGAACUUGUAUGAUCACCAAUGUUAAGCAACAUUGAGCCAGGUCAGUACCUAGAUGGGUGACCACAUGGGAAUACCAGGUAGUGUAA